RNAcentral lists this ribosomal RNA (222 nucleotides) under uncultured bacterium. Its description in RNAcentral is "partial 16S ribosomal RNA". It matches the Rfam family "Bacterial small subunit ribosomal RNA", at positions 109 to 334 of the family's 1533-position model. The record is from RNAcentral.
AGUAAUGUAGUGGGAUUUGCCCGAUAGAGGGGGAUAACUACUGGAAACGGUGGCUAAUACCGCAUAAUGUCUACGGACCAAAGCAGGGGCUCUUCGGACCUUGCACUAUCGGAUGAACCCAUAUGGGAUUAGCUAGUAGGUGGGGUAAAGGCUCACCUAGGCGACGAUCUCUAGCUGGUCUGAGAGGAUGAUCAGCCACACUGGGACUGAGACACGGCCCAG